UUUUAAUACUUUGCAGGGUUGGAAAAUCUGGAAGUCCUUGACCUGAGUGUGAAGAGAGAGCUGGAUAGUUUCACUGUUAUUCUAGUUUGUUUGAAUUUCCUUCCAUCUCUCAAGUCUUUAUAUUUAUCAUCCAACAGGUAUUUAUCACACAACAGGUUCAAUGUAUUCAACGAUUUUGAAACUCUGUCAUCGAAGUUGCUUAGAUUAGAAGUCCUUGACAUAAGUUGGAACUAUUUGACUAAUGACAUUUUGCCAUCUCUCGAGGGAUUCACGUCUCUGAAAGAACUCUAUUUGUCUGGCAAUGAAUUUGACUCGGAUAAUCAUAUCCAAGGUUUAUGCCCUAUGUUGAAAAAUCUUGAGGUCCUUGACUUGUCUUACAACAACUUCAAUGACAGUGAUAUUGCAUCUGCUCUCAAUGGACUUUCUUCUCUCAAGUCUUUAAAUUUAGGAUACAGUGAAUUGACUCCAAGAUCAAUUCUUAAUAUAUCAAAGAUAAGGUCUAUAGAGAUUCUUGAGAUGGAG
RNAcentral lists this small RNA (522 nucleotides) under Vigna angularis var. angularis. RNAcentral describes it as "Non-protein coding transcript". The record is from RNAcentral. Lineage: Eukaryota; Viridiplantae; Streptophyta; Magnoliopsida; Fabales; Fabaceae.